Gallus gallus (chicken) is the source of this 23742-nucleotide long non-coding RNA. The record is from Ensembl. NCBI's taxonomy places the organism in Eukaryota, Metazoa, Chordata, Aves, Galliformes, Phasianidae.
GUAAGUAGUUGAAAACCAUCUCUGUCUCACAUGCUCUGCUCUAGGACUCAUUUCUAUUCUUUGUUGUAUGCAUUAUUGCUUUUUGGAUGUUAGCAGGGACUGGGGAGGCAUAGCUGCAACUUGUCUUCAGAGUUCUAUAGGCAGGUGAGACCUCCAGGGACUACACCCUGAGAGCUGCUGCCUGACAUCCCUUUCUGGUGAGAUGAGAUAGAGGGACUAUGUGUAGAGAUAGCAUCCAUCUCAGCUUCCUUGGUCUGCUUCAAUGCCAUAAGCUAUGCUAAAUAAACUGCAGGUGAUCCAAGAAGCUCUACUCAAGCUUCACUGAGCAACGAUGACAUCCUGGCAUGCAAAGCUGGUCUUUGCUUGCAGUGGAAACAGUUCUCAUGAUUGUGCAAAAUCUUGUGUUUGGUGGAUAUAAUGAUAAUGAACUAAUUUGUGUCAACAGAUUUCUUUAUGACCUUGUUGUUUUUCCCUUUUCUUUUGCCCACCUUGUGCUUUCUUAAUUUGUAUGGAGGCAGGGGAGAGAAAUCCUAUUGAUAAGCACUUUGUCUGUAGAGCCAGGGCUCCAGUUAAGGCUAACAAACUCUAUGUUGCUCUGCCUGGGGACAAGAAUUCCCCAUGUGAAAAGCCUAACAUGAGAGAGUGGUUCUCUGGAGCUUAAUGGGAUGCAGUGCAUGUAUGAAGUCACUGAUGAACAUCAAUGUUUUCAGAAGCAAUUUUCAACAAGGAUCCAUCUUUUUGAAGGCAUACAAAAUGGAUUUCUCCUUUUUUAUUGCUUUUGAAUAUCCUACUGCAAGGCUGCUGCUCUUCAGUUGUGGAUGUAUGCUUGAGUUUAGAGUCAUUUUACUCCUCUUGAUCCUUCUCAUUCACAAGGACUCUGCCUAUUCAGGUGUGCCUCGGGUAAGCGAUGCUGAACAGCUGUGGUAAUCAUAUUAUGAGGCUGUGUUUUAACCUUUCUUUUAGCUCUUGUGUGCUGUGAGAAUUACAGCAAACUGGGCUGCGAUAGAAACGCUGCAAAAUGGAAGUUGAGAGGAGAACUUCUUCAGUAAAAGGAAAAGGGUAGGGGAAGGGUUGCAGGAGAGAAGGAGAUUUGAACAAAAUCUCCAGAUUCAGCCUCUAAAGAGGAGGGGUAGUGGAAGCUAAUGCAGUGAAAUGAGCUGUAACAAAGCCAUGCCAGGAAUUAUUCAGCUGUUCACAAGAAUUUUAGAAGAACUGUAAUUGGGAAAUGAUGUGAAUAUCAAACAAAAUGUCACUUGCUGGAAGCCUCACAAGGAGGGGGAAAUAAAAUGAUGAAAGUGCUGCAUUACAUGUCACCCUCUUAGGCACGCUCUGAAAGAGUUCCCUGCUCCCCACUUAGACCCUUUGACAUGCUAUUGUGUGGCUUUGUGUACUUCUGAGCGGGGUGGUUCUCUGCAGAAGAAAUUAAAAUGACGGGAAAGCUGGCUUGUCACAUUAAAUAACAUCACAUGCUUUUCUGCUGGGGAGAAAAACAGAAAGAAAUACUCUGCUGAGUUCCAGGAAAAUAGCUGCUGAGGAAAUGAGUGUGGCAACUCCGUCCCCUCACCUGGAAAGUAACAGUUGUGCCAGUAUGGGGAAGCACUGGCAGGGCUCAUGGCAGACCCGAGUUUCUGCUGUUUGCUGCAGACUUGAUGUCCACAUCACAGAUCUCUCUGGCUGUCCAUAAUGACCUUCCAGCCUAAAUGCUGGUUUUCUAUUUUACUUUCUUAACAUUUGAAGUGCAUUUCUAAAUACUGGGAAGAUUUGCCACCAGCAUUUCCUGCUUUUGUUUAUUGAUUUCUUCUUUUUCUCCAAAUUCCCUGCCUGUCCUUCUUUGGAAACAUGUCCUCUUGGAAGCACCAUCACGGCUGGAUUGCACCGUGAGGUCCCCAUGGUGUUCUCUUUGGCACUCACAGUAGUGUUUCCAUUUGGAUGACCUAUGUGUUCUUGGUCUCUUUGAUUUAGUGCAACCCUUUGUGCAGAAACACGGAGAAACAUCCCUCUACACAUAGAAAUGGAAUCAUUAAGGCUGGGAAGGACCACUAAGAUCAUCUAGUCCCACCAUCCACCUACCACCAAUAUUGCCCACUAAACCUUGUACCUAUGUACCACAUCCACAUGCUUCUUGAACACCUCCAGGGAUGGUGACUCUACCACCUCCCUGGGCAGCCUGUUCCAGUACCUCAUCACUCUUUCUGAGAAGAAAUUUUUCCAAACUAUCCAAUUUGAACCACACAUUGUGCAAUUUACAGCCAUCCCUUCUUGUCUUGUCUCAUGGAGACCAGGGCAGUCACUGAGCCCUGAGUUUGGGAAGAGGAGGAGGCAUUGGCCAGAUCUGCUCUGAGCUUUACCCAAGUGAAAGGAGAAGAUGAAAAGGUGGGGGAGAAGGGAGAAGGUGAGAACUCUGUGGAGGAGGUCACAAGGUCUGUGACUGAGAAGUCAUGAAAAGCGCUCCUAUUUUAGUUAGGAUUUCUCAGUGGUCUCUCUCUCAUAUCUGCAGUCACCAGGAUCUUAGAGGGUAAUAUGGCUUUCCUUUGGCUUUGGUGCUGGGGCUCUAUUGGGGAAAAGGUAUCUCAAUACAGUGCUGUAAAAAAGUGAGUUAUCAGAAAUAUAUAUAAAAAAUCAUAGUGACAAUCCAAACACUGUUACACACCCAUCAUGUUUAGGUGAUUUUUUAGGAAACUCUUCUGGCAAACAAUUUUAAGAGCUGGAAUAGGCAUUCCUAUCUUUCUCUAUAAACCACUUCGAAUAUUUACCAAUUUAUUUCUUAAGAUAAUGCUUCUAAAGAGCAAAACACUCAAAGCCCUCUUGCAUUUUUGCCUCACCUGCAUGUCUUCCCAUGUAGACCUGGGAGACACUUGCUAGCUUUAAAAGAAGGAAAAAGUAAAGAAAAGCACUAUCUUGCAGUGAGCUGUAGAGCCUGAGGCCUCAAAGUAAGAUUUUAAGAUUUCACUCUGGUUUCUCCUAAUCUGUCUUUGAAUGUGUUUUUCUGUUUGUUUUCUAUCUAUCUAUAUUUAACAUUUUGUUGCUAUUUCCAGUUAGAGAAGUGUUGUGUCUGAACAGGGACACAGUUACCACAAAACAUGUGCGCAAGCACAGGACUGUGAGUGGACACAGCUCUGUACUUGGCUGCUGGUGUUGGUUUAUGUAGCAGCAGGGGUACAUAUAUAACCUCAAAGCAGGUGUGGUGGAGCAUUCUGCAUGGUUAAACCCAAGCUGUAAUUCCCAGCUGAAGUAUCAGAGGGGAGGUGGUCAGAAGGAGAUGGAGUAGCUCUGGGAAGUGAAUUGGUCUGUCAUUACAUCAAAGGAGGGUCAGACUGGGGAUUAGGAAAAGGUUCUUCACCAGAGGGUGGUCAGGCAUGGAACAGGCUCUCCAGAGCAAUGGGCAUGGCACCAAGCUGCCGGAGUUCAGGAAGUGUCUAGACAACAAUUUCAGACAUAAGGAUUGUUUGGGUGGUGAGACACUGGAACAGGUUGCCCAGCGAGGUUGUGGAUGUCCUCUUCCUGGAAGCAUUCAAGGCCAGGCUGGAUGGGACUUUGAGCAACGUGGUCUAGUGCAAGAUGUCACUGCUUAUAGAAGGGUGGUUGGAACUAGAUGAUCCUAAAGGUCCCUUCCAUCCCAAACCAUUCUAUGGUUCUUGGUUGGCCCUGUGAGGAGCCAAGAGUUGAACUCAGUGAUCCCUAAGGGUCCCUUCCAUUUUGAGAUGUUCUGUGCUUAGCGUGGAUAUUUGGAUCCCAAAAAGGGAUGCCCAGUCUAAGGGUGCUGAAGAGUAAUUUUGCAUGUAAAAGACCCGAAGAAAUAGUUUAUUCAGGGAAUAAGCACAAGCUGGUAGAAAAAAAAAAAGAACAUGCGGUAUGUGGUGCUGGUCAGCAUUAGCAGACAGCCUCAACUUCCUCAACUUGAGGAAGCUGCAGCCAGCAAGGAGCAGCAAGGCCAAUGGUCUCUCACUUUGCUUAUGUCACGCGUUGUUUAUCAAGGAAUGCAAAGCAGUGGUGCUAGAUCUUCAUGUUAUGACUCACUAACAUACACUCCAGCAGACCUUCACCCAGAAUCUUUGCCUGGGUAGUGCCCAUUUUCCCAUCCAUUAAAUUUUUUCUGUGGUUUUUUUUUUUUUUUAUUUUUUAUUUUUAUUUUUUUUUUAUUGCAGUGGUUGAUCCCUGUGGCUGAGAGCAAACCGUCAGGAUUUCAGGUGGCAUCUCACAUGCUCAUGGAGCUGGGCACCUGGCAGAUGGCAGAACAGUGUUCAGCUGCCCCAGUGUAGCAAGGCGAGUGCUGACCUGUGAAGCACGUUCAGUAUUCUGCAGUGGGGGAAUUUUCAUGCAGUCAAACCUAUAAACUCAGUGGGCCAGGCUGCUGUAAAUAUUUUUAAUCCAGGUCCACACAGUUAGCUUCACAGGUCCAGUGUCUGAUCAGAAGUACAAACUAUUCCAAGGAACCAUCUUCGCAAAUAGGCUUAUGUAUAAUCAAUAGCUUGGUGCAUGUGCGUGCACAAAUACUCAUUUAGUUAUUCUGGUCUGUGAAUGCAUGCAUUAACCUGACCGCCUGGUGCUACCCCAGCCUCCCUCCCCUCUCUGCAAACAGGAAAACGGAAUGCAUUCAUUGAUUUCGCUGCUUUGAUUUAUUUGCCUGGCUCUAAUCUCUGUGCAAGAUAAGACUGCUGAGAAUUGUCAAAUUGCAUGCUUUGGAGAAUUGAAGAGGCCAUUUCCUCUCUAUUUCCUACAUUAUAAGAUAAUGUGAGAUACAUGGUAGCAUCCUCCGCCUCCCCACAAAGCAUCAGUUAAUGGAUCUAGCUUUUAGUGUCACUGCUUUGUGCCAGUACGCACCAUCAUUUAUGCCCUGAGAAACUAAAUAGGUAUUUAUCACUGGUGGAAGACAAUUGAACUUCAAGUAAACAGAACGAAAUACCUACCGGCCCAUUUUCUUGGGAAAGUCUGUCCCUGAGUUAGUAAAAACACUAACUGUUUCUGGUGUUGGAGGCUUGUUUAAUUAGCAUUUUGGGUUCUGUAUCGUGUGGGCUGCUGCUUUUGGUGGGUUACUGCUUUCUAUCCCCUCCCCACCCUUCGUCCAAUACUGCCUCUCAGUGUUGUACGUCAUCUGGUGUUGAAGGGGGUCCCAGCUAUCAAGUACUACAGGAGCUGUUGGUUAAGCAGCAGCUGACUUUCAUGCAAAGAAGGGCUUAUUUUUAUUUCAGGGGAGGGGAAGGGACUUGUAUCACUGCCAGCUGUGGGCAAGCACUGAUCCAGCCAUUUGCUGCGGCUGGGUGGCUCUCCCAUGUCAUGGCACAACCAGACCGCCCCCAGGCCGGAGCUGUGAAGAAUAGCCUGUGGGGAAGGAGAUUUGGUGUCAGCAAAGAGGAGGGGAAGAAUAGAUAGAAACGUGCUCAGGGAGAGAGAGAGCCAGAAGGGAAAGUCGCGGGUAGGGGAGGUCUUCCAUACUCUCCUAUGAGUCCACCUAGAGAGUUAAUGGGAUGGUCUGUGUAGCCAUGCACCCAAGGGAAGAGACCUGCUGUGCUGAAACGGUGGGGAAAAAGGAUGAGGAUGCUGAAAUACCCACAGGACCUUCUGCUUUAUCUCAUGGCUGAUGAACUGCACAGAGUUUGGGCAAACUUUGGGGUUUUGUACUCUAUUGACAUCACUCCUUGGAGGAGAGCACCUCCUCACAGAUAAAGGCUAAGCUGCGGGGAGUUGGGGCAUUUCUCUGUCAAAAGUCUGUCCUGGGUACUUCCCAUCAACCCCAGGGUCGCAUCAACAGCACUGAAGUUGCUAGGUUUGGGUUUGUUAGGGAAAAAAUCCCAACAAAUUAAAGCAGAUCCAAUGUCUCCUUGCCAGCACUUGCUGCAUUUGGCCUUGGUGAAUUAAUUUGAAAAGUAGUGAUGUGUAAUGGUAUGUGACACGUUCUCAUAUCCUUGGGACAGCUGCGUGCACUGGAGAAAUGCAGCUUCCUUCUGAACACAGCGAGAAAGAAGGGGAAAAAGAGAGGGGGGACUGUUACGAACAGCAUUAACAUAGCUUGGGGAUGAGAUCAUCCUCUCCUGUGCACCUGGGAGCUGGGAGGGUUCGUUAAAAAAACUGUUUAGUCAUUUCAGUGAGGUGGAAGAGCACUGCUCUCUUCUGGUAAUGGGUUUGGAGGAGGAGGAGGCAGCAGUGCUGCUAGUCAGGGGCAGCUUGCAGCCCCUGGCAUGCUGCCCAGGAGGUGCAGGUUCCGAUAUAAAUCCUUCCUUAAGUGCCUUCCUGCUUUGUAAAUGCUUCAUUUAAGACAAAACCUGCAAAAUUCCCACACAGCUGACGUUCUAGCCUCCUGGCCUUCCCUGUAUGACUUCUCAGUGAUUUCUAAUGCUGGCUAAAUGACAGGUUCCACCUGCAGCUGGGGACCAGCACCAACAACCAUCACCUGGACUUACCUAAGGAAGGAAUGUGUUCGGUGCACAAAGUAACCCCUGCGUUUCCCUGUAAUUGCAGCAACUGUGUGUUGGACAGAUGGCCAACCCCCAGCAUCAUGUCAGGGGAGUUCUGCUUAGUUUUCUGUGCACCCAGCUUUAAUUACAGCUCUUCCAGACAUAUUUAUUCUAAGUUAACUGCGAUGAUUCUGGAGCUGCAUCAGAAUAAGAUGCUCCUUCCCAGCAGCACCUUCUGCUCGCUUCCCCUAGCUGGGAAUGCCUUCCUGAUGCUCCUCAGGCAGACUUAGCUUGAUGUUUUACUCCCAUCUAGUGCUUCUUUAUUAAAACUGCUGGUGCUCUGCGUCUCGCACAGGGCUGAGCAAAUGCUAUCUUGUCUCUAACCUGGUGGUGUCUGCUCAGGAUACAUAAACUCUGUUAAACACGAGUGACUCGCAGCCUGCCCUGCCAGGACUGAGCAUCUCACGGCCCGACAGGGCAGGUCAUGAGCCUCACUGGCAGCUGGGGGUCAGCACUGCCCCAGCUGCGUGCCAAGGGAUUGCCGGAGAGGGUUAGACCUCCUUUCCCCAUCGUUUCUUCUAGAGAUGAGGAAGCAAACCUUCCCCAGCCACUGAGCAUUUGAAUGCGUGGGCACCACUGGACGAAGUGAAUAUUGUCACUGAGGAAGGCUUUGGACUGUGGGACCAGGUCCCAUUGAUUUAGAAUGAAAGUAAGUGUCUUAAGUGUGUCAAAUACUCAGAAACCACAGGCACUUCCGGGAGUCUUAUUCCCUGUCUUUCCUUUUCCUUUCAUGCUGUUUUGGUACCAAGGUGCUUUUUCUUUUUCCUUUUUUUAAAUUGACUUUUUUAUGUCUUUCUGUUCCUUCUAAUCAAAAUUCUAACUGAGCCUUCUCUUUGAACUAAUUUAUAUGAUGAAUGUUUUAGGAGUGUGAUGAGGAAAUACGGAUAAUCUUAGGCUUGUGAUUGAAUAUUUACAGGCAUAAUACAGGCUUCAAGCCAUCUCUAAGUGUUUGGCAGCCCAUGCCUGACCGAGGAAAUAAGCACUCAGGUAAGAUGACCAACUCUCAUUAAAAUUUAGUGAAGGUCAUUAGUUUGCUCUUACUUAGUGAAUUUUCCCUGGGUGACAUAUUGCCCAACGGGGUAUGAUAGCAUAAAUAUGGAAUUUUAGUAUGUGUUUUUUGAAGAUGAGCAAAGCAGGCAGAUGGGCAACUGGGGCCUUAACAUCACUAUAGCUAUCUCUCUUGAUUAAACUGUUAGCACAUUAAUUAAAAUUACUCUAGGGAGCACGUGCAUGGGGUGGGAAAACUGGCAAUCAUGCCAGACCACAGGUGGAGGUGCUGAGUUCUGGGCAGAGCAGCUUUAGGUAGGUAAGCACUCAUCUGGUGGGUUCCUGCACCAUUGAGUCAGUGGCACCUCUCCCCACUCUGCCCUUGCCAGCAUUACCUUUUAUCUGCAGCAAGGCUUUGUGGGCUAGGCUGAGUAAUGAGAUAGGUAAUGUGAUGUCCCCACAUUUCUUUAACAUCUCUUCCCAUGGUCACUGACAAACCUUUUUGCUUUUUCUAUUGUUGAGGUUUCAUUAUGAUGAACAUAAACAGUUCCCCAUUUUAUACCCACCACUGAACCUCCCUGAGACAUUCUGCUUUUUAUCCUAAGUUUCUGCAGUCUUUCUAUCCCCUCUGCUGCUCACAUGACCACAUAUUCCAGCUUGGAUUGAAACAACCUCUGUGCUUUUUGCUCAGCUGAUGUUUCCUGCCCAAGGUCCUGGUUUCUGCUUGGUGCUUUGGCCACUUGUGGCACAUCAAAGACCCCUUCUGCUACCAAAAAUUCAAACUCCUGCCUCUGUGUGCUGCCACUGCACUUCCUUAGUUUUAUUCCGCUGCUUCUUCAUGAGUAAUCAAAACCCUUUCCUUAAAUGCUCAGUGUUUUUUUGUUUUUUCUCUGCAUCCUUCCUUAUUUCCCAUUCCUUUCAUCUUCCAAUGGGGUGCAAUCUGCCCUGUUUUUUUCUCCCCUUAGUUCAAACCCCAGUGAAUAUCUAGGCAGAGCUGUUCUCCUCUCUCCACAGUUAGAUGUGGCUUGCUUUCUUCUUCUUUUAUACUUCUUUCCCUCUCUUCACAGUCAGUUUAACCACAGACGUGAAACCUCCACCGUAUUCCAUUUAGGAGCAGAGACCGUAUUGCCUGAAACCACUGCAAACCUAUAAAGUUCUGUGUUUGUUUAGCAGGAACAAAGAUUAUUUUUGCAAGAAGGUGAUGAAACAGCAAAGUUAGAGUUCUUCCAGCAGCAGAAAAUGCACAAAGGCAGGCAAUGUUUAUAGGCAGAUAAAUAUCAAAUGUAAUGCACUGAUUAAUAUUCCAGCAGGAUGGACUUUUAUGAACUGGCAUGUCAUUCUGUAGGUUUUAUUUUUAACAGAUGGGAAAGAAAAACAACAUUUGGUCUAGAGCCUCUGUCUGUCUGAAUGAGGUUUUGCUCAUUUGGGGGGCUGCAGCUAUUCUAAACAUGGCAACCUGAUUUAAUUAGCUGACCAGGAUCCUGCUUCAUCAGGGUUUUUUUUUGUGUGUGGAUAAAUGCACUCUAGCAAAACUGACAGUACUCAGAGCUCCAGACUGCUCCCGCCAAGUUUCCAUCUGAAAUGUGCAAACAAAAUAGCUGAUGAAAUAAUAGACAUGCUCACGCUGGAAACCUUUCUCUUUCCUUUUUCAGGGAAAUUGAAUAUCUAUUGAUUUAUCAUUUCUACCAGAUGGGGAUCACAGCAGUAGUUCCUCUGUGUUUUCACAAGCAGUGUCUUUCACAGAGUUUGCUUUGGUUGACAAGUUAUUUUCCUUCUGAUUUGAGUCUGCCUCUAAUGUGUGCUUUUGGGGUAUUGAUUUCACCAGCAGACAAGCUCUGAUUAUGGCUGUUGCAAGGCUGCCAAGGCCCUGCGAUGUGCAGAAGUCUCUUUGAGUUUCUUCUUCCUGAAAGGCCUAGGCUUCUUAGGGCUAGGAUGAAAAGCAUGAGACCCAUUAAGCAAAGAAGCCAAUCCUGAUGCCUAGGAGGGGUUGCAAAGGCAGUUGGAAUAAAAAGUGAUGCCAAGUCCUUUGUGCAUCUUUGUAUGUGGCACAGGUGCCACAUUGACGCAAAAUGUUUGGAGACUGUCUCCCCGAGAAAGUCUGUUGUCUUAAAUGCAAGUUCCAAUUAUAGUACAAACCCAGCAUUAGGGGCUUUUUGUUUUCAAGUGUGUUGUGCUGAGCUAGGCUUAUCAUCAAGAAGACAAGGGAAUUAACCUUGGUUUAUUAAUUUUAUGUAGACAUUAAUAGUUGCAGCAUCAGCAUUUCCUUGAUUUAGCCACGCGGGUACCACACACAGUAUAGAACUGAAGGAAUGCCAUCUGGGAAUUGAGAGCUGCCCAGUUUUUCAGUCUGCCUUCCCAAGGUUAUAUGACAUCAGUCUCUGAUCAACUGCCCUUUCUGUUGGCUAGUUUCCACCUCAAAUGAAAGGGACAUAAGUCCUGGAAAAGUAAAUUCCCCACCGAAACCCUAGAGGGAACCAAUGAGAAAAACAGAAGAAGGUGUCAGGUCUCACUGAAUCUCCUUGUCAGCAACUGGCAGGACCUCGGGGUGUAUGUUGGCUUACCAACCUGCUUAUGAAUAUUUCCAGAUUGGCUACCACACAUAUUGCUCCUUCCUGGUGUUGUCAAAGACAAAUGAGAGCAGGCAGUAGGAGUUACUGCACGUAGGAGAAGACAUUUUAUGGGAUAUCUGACACAUCCAAGGGAAAAAAAAAAAAACACAACCAUUUUUGCUGCCCAGGAAACUGUUUGGAUACUUAGCUGGUCUGGCUUGUUUUGUUUUGUUUUUCCCUCAGAAAAAGUCUGAAUUGUACUGCUUCUUUAUUCCACCAUUCUUUCCCCCUGCAUAUUUCAACUAGCUCCCCUCUGCCAUGAAGUGUUCGUGACAGAGAAAGUAAGCCAGCUGACUGAUGGCUGAGGAAGAGGUUUUCUGCAGGUUAUGGGGCCAUGUGAAGGUGAUGACAGUUACAACAGCGCUGAACUGGCAUAGAAGAUCACAGCAGACCCUGGGCUAUGUAGUUGCUCAAUCUAGUAAUUUAAAUUGCCACCUUGCUUCCCACUGUUGCAGUUUUUCAGUGUUCUUGAAAAUUAUCAUUGCAUGUAUUUACAUAUAUUUACACAUAUACAUAGGUUUAUGCCUUGCUCCCUGAACAGGAAGGUUAUUGCUUGGUCUCAUGUUUUUGACAGCAAGUGCAUCUGGAAUCCACUUCCAGCUUCUGCACGUAGGUGAUUUCCUUCUAGUAGGACACCGUGUAAUCCACACCUGGUGCAAGGGCAGAGCUACUCCACAGCUCCAGAGUACAAAAUCCUCCCUGUCCAGAUCAGCUUCUCGGAGGCUGAGGGGCCAUGUGUGUUCUAGUACUCUUCUGUUCAACCGAAGUCCUCAUUUUCUGUCUUUUUAGAAACCUGAAAAUCCUUUACCUUAGGAUGAGAAGUCUGCUUUGGUCUCAAGCCGUCUCCCAGAGUUAGAGCAGAGCAAUACAGUAUAACUGAAGCUUCGUCUUUUGUGUGCAUAGCAAUGUGGAGUUUAAUUAAAAAUCUCACUUUCUGUUAUUUUUACUGCAGAUGACUGCUUCAGUGGGUGCCCAAGAAAACAGCAGGAUAAACUAACAAAAUGAAGGAGGGCUGUAUAGUGAAAGUGUUUGUUGUCUGGAGGACUCUGGCUUCGCUUGCUGAAGAAGGCUGAAAAUGCAUAAUGAAUGAGACAGGAUACUCCAGAAAGCCAUAAAAUGGUCUCAGAGGGCAUGUUUGAUACCUCUGUGGGGAGCUAGGUUCUGUAUCUUGCUCAGCCACAGGCUUGGUUCCUAUCCCUUGAACAGAAAAGUUUACCAUACCAUGCAUGCUUCUCAGCUUCUCAUUUUUUGUAUGUGCAAGGCACGGCAGAUGGGACUAUUUUUUUAGAGAGGUGUUACCUGCAGAUGAAGUGACCGCAGCUUUGCCUAUGGAAUGAGAUAUAAAAAAGCUCAGAGUUCUAUAAAAUGAACCAGGAUCUAAGCCUGGGUAUUAAAAAUUCAUAGAUGUUUUUCAUAGGUCUAUACUGAAAUUUCCUCCGUGUUGGUACUUUGUGUGCAACAUGAGGGCAGUAAUUCCUAAGUGUCUUAGCCAAACUGUAGAGGAAUCCUUAAUAUUUUGGAGGUACAAGAUGUUGCAGUGGAAAUAUUUGUGAGGAAAACACAAAUUUUAUGCUCGAGGAAGCAAGAUUUGGAAGGCAUGAGGUAAAUAAGGAUAAGUAAUGUGUAUUAUAGCAGCAUGCUAAAAAUAAACAGAAAUAUUUAGCCAUUCACUGAGGAAGACAAGGACGUUGUAUAAAAAUAUAGUCUACAAUCAUGUAAUUAAAGCCUGCAUUGUAAUUUGAAGAAGCUGAAGUAAAGGAGCUGUGUGGGUGGCUUUAGCUCUGUUGUCUUUGUCACUGAGUUUCUGCUUUAAUAGGUAGCUUUUCAGAUGUUGUUGGAUAUGUGACAGCGUGGUAAUAACUUCCACAACACAAGUUUAACAGUGCUCUGAAAGCAAAUAUCUUGCUUUGAAACAGGUACAUUUCACUGGACAAAAUCCUCUCUUUCAUCUCAGUGCUCCUCUAUUCUCUUCACUCCCUUCUUUGGAGAAAAGAAGGCUCCAGGGAGACCUCAUUGUGGCCUUCCAAUAUUUGAAGGGAGCCUACAAACAAGAGGGGGUAUGUCUGUUUACAAAGGUGGAUAGUCAUAGGACAAGGGGGUUUUAGAGUCUCAGUUUUAAACUGAGAUGGGGGAGGUUUAGCUUAGAUAUUAGGAGAAAGUUUUUCACUCAGAGGAUGGUGACGCACUGGAACAGGUUGUCCAAGGAGGUUGUGGAUGCCCCAUCCCUGAAGGCACUAAAGGCCAGGCUAGUGGUCUGGUAGACCCUGCACAUAGCAGGGGGUUGAAACUAGAUGAUCUUUGAGGUCCUUUUCAACCUAGGCCAUUCUAUGAUUCUCCUGUUGCCACCUCCAUGGGACACCACGCGAGGGCCAGCAGCCUUUGGUUGGCCACAGGUCCUUCUGACACCUGUGACCAGGCAUUGGAGGUUCCCUGCCUCAUCUCUGUAUCUCACAGCUCCUGGAGUGGGCUGUGACAUAAAUUCCUUGCAGGGAGUACGGUGUGAUGAGGAAGCUGUGCUGGCCACCCCACUCAGCCCCACUGCCAUACCGUCUGUGGCAACAAUGGUGUGCGGUUGCAGGAGGCAGUGAUGCUGAAUGCAGGAAACCUGACGACGGUAUAUUUUACAGCAUGGCAGCUGUAACGCAGGAUCGUAAGAAACGUUUGCAUUUUGAAAUGCUUUAUCUUCCAUUUAAGGGAUAGUGUUUCUGGCAGGGAAAGAAUAUAUAAGGGUAUUAAAUGGCUUUCUUUGCAGGCAAUUAAACAAGGAAGCCGAUCAAAGACAUUUAAAUAAUUGUAACAGAUGUUUAUUGCCUGAUGCAGUUUACUGCAUCCUAUUAUUUCUGUUACAUACAGGAGAGAAGAACACAUGGCAAACUGUACCGCAAAAGAAAUUCUUUACUGCCUUGUGAGGAACGUGGCUGCUUCUCUGCCUUCUUAAUUGUAUCAUGUUGAGAACAAGUCAGUAAUAAGUAGUGUUUGGAGGGCAGAGAAGUGGCUUACUGCCUGGAGGAGCAGCAGCAAGUGGUGUGCAAAGACAUGGGGUUGAUGGUAAACACCUUUGAGACAACAGACUGCUGUGGGAUUGCUUCAAGAGUGAUGCUCAGCUCACUCACAUUAGGAAUUUCAGUUCCUCCUGAAGUUAUGCAGUUAGUACUGAGAGGGACAUCCUGGCUCAGGACAAAAGUGUUGGUGGCACUGUAAUCCUCAGUGACAUCUGGGAAUGGCCUCAGGUGGGCAACUAGGCAUCAAUAAAAGGCAAGCAUGUGACAACUCCCCCAGAUACUCCUCAAACAUUUUUGUUGUAGGGCCAGAUGUGUUUUCUUUGUCGUUAAUAACAUAAUAACAUACUUUAGUACUGUGUGUUUAAUUCUAUGUAUUUAAAAACAGAUUUUUCUUGCCUUGAAUUUAAGUGUUCAGAAUAGCCUAUGUAGGACAGUAAGUACCCUAGAGGAACCCAUGAGCUUUUCAUCACCAAUUAAAAGAAAGGGAUGUUUGUUUCCCUAAACAAUAACAAAAAAUUCUAACAAUGAUACUCCUCCCAAUCCCAAAUCCCCAUACAAAAGCCUAUAAACAUUCAAAAUCUAGGCUAGUGUCCCUCCACUUGUUUUAUCCUUGGCUUUGACUAAAAUCUGAGGCUUUUUCAGCAAACAUCUCAUAUUUUCAAAUUCAGUAAUGACUUCAUACAUCCUACUAAUAGAAAAAAAGACUUAUUGCCAUCAUUUCAGAACACAACUGGAAUAUUCAAUAUUCCCCAUCUCCCUUCCUCCCUCUUGCUGAAAGAGGAAGACUUCAGGGAGACUCUUUCUCAGAAGGAAUAACAAUUAUUUGAUGUGUUAUUCUUCCUCUACAGAUCACACCUCUCAUCUGGGGCAGAUCUUUUCUCCUCCUUGUGUCCUGACAUCAUCAUAGGCAGCAAAGUCUGCAUUAAAGACAUGAACUAAUGACACAGGCACUGCACUCUAAGAGGUGGUUCCUUCAUGGGCAAUCCACAUUGAGGUGAUGCACAGCAGGGAAGGGAGCUGGCUCCAGCACCCAUCAGGAACUGCUGAAAGGUACUCUUGCUCCUGGGUUGUCAACACAAGAUUUAGUGUGAGUUCCUGAAAGUGUCUUAACAGGCAUAGAAAGCACUGAUUCCCUCAAGUCUGCAGAAACAUGAUGCACAGCAACCAUUAGCACUGGCUUACAUUGCAGAACAAAUUCUGUGGCAGGAUGAGCCAGGUGCUAUGAUAGCUAUGAAAUAGCUAUGAAAUAGCCAUGAUGCUAUUUCAUCUGAGUGAGAGAGGGAAUGAAUUUGGGUCCUGGGGAAGCAUAGAAAGUGGAUGUUAUGCAACUCCUGAAAGAAUCAAGAGCUGUGGCUGUAGCAACUGCCAAUAAAUAUACUCAAGUACUACUCUGCUGGGAAUAUCUACAUGAGGCAUGAAGUGUGCUUACACCAAAUUACCUGAGGACCGCAUGAUGUCAGUCACAAGGAAAACAAUGCUGUGGGUCUUGUAGAUGGUCCUCAGCCUUGCUAUGACAAGAAGGUGCUGAGUGUUUGAAUGGCUCCCAUCCACUGUGAUUGCAUGAAGACAGGUGGGUCUCUGGCCAUGCCUACUCUCAACCUGCAUGGCAUGUUGUCUGACACUGGUAAGGAGUAUCUAAAAUCUACAUGAGGCAAUCAACAUCAUUUUGUGGACAAUUUUACAUUUGAAAGCAUCUCUCUGGAGCUGUUUGUCUUCAAAACAGAGAGCCCAGGAGUGUUUAUUGCCUGUAGGCUUGGCCUGGGAGAAAAUGAAACCAGCUUGAUACUGGAGACUGGGAAAUGAUACCAUUGUAUCCUGUGAAGGCAAGAUGCAAGCUGGCAUCUCCCUGCUUCCUCUCAUCUGUAACUCCAGAAGAACUGUCUUGGACACUUUGGACUGUAAGUAAGAGUUUGUACCUUUGUCACUAGCUGUCAUAGAAUGAACAACACAACCUCUGACGAUUCAGUGGGACAAAACACAUGUCUUGGGAGCUGUUGCUUGGAGAAAAUAAAGCAACUUUUUUCUUUUCAGGGAACAGUAUCCCACUAGGACUUCCCAGAACACAAAUUAGUUUCGUCGUGCUAUAGUAUUUGCUCUUCAGUAUUACUAUCAGUCAGAAAAAUGCUGGGGUUCCUGUCACAUUGCUUUGUCACACUCACACUCAUAGUUUAAAUUGCUGUGAUAGAGAAUCAGGAGAAAGAGAGUCAUACUGAAUAUGACUUCUUCUAGUAUGAUCUUUAGGUUUACAUUAGAUACGUUAUGUUGUAUUUGUAAUUAGACAACUCAAUCCAAGCGACUUUCAUGUCAUUUUUCUUCAAAUGAUUCGUUAGCUGAAAAAUGAGGCUCCAUUCAGGCAAAGCUCUGUUGUGAAUUUGGGUCAAAUUUGGAAAAAAAUGAGGAUUAUUCAAAAGCCUAAAGCUGUUUCUUGUAUAUAUUUUUUUCUUCCAGAAAAUGUUUCAAUGCUUUCAGCUCAGAGCAGCAUUUGGAGACCAAGUUUUUCUUCUGGUAAAACAUAAACUACAGCACAGAAAUAGAAGUAAAACAUUUGUUUGCUCAGCUCUAGUAACGUGGUGCCGAGGCAUGCCCGCAGGUAUGCUUGUACUGUAAUUGCUGCAGCUGUUAUUCUGAAUUGAAUACUUUUCCUUGCUUGCUCCUCUUCCUCUUCAUGCACUGUAGUUUUAUAAAGCUCAAGUUGCUGAUGAUGUGCUGCACAGGAUGGUUUUGAUGUGUUGUCUGGGCAAGACUAUCUUUGACAGCUACCUUUUACUCGCUGGGAGAAACAGGUCUAGGACGUGAUUCCUGCUCCUUCUUGCUACUCUCUAAGUGUUGUUGCAGGUGAAAAGGAAACAUGCCUCGUACAUAAAGUCACUAAUUUAUUAGUAGCAUAAUAGAAAUAUCAAGUCUAAUCCAAGAAUUAUUAUUGAUGCAGAUCUGGUUAUAGAAAGAGGAGGAAUACUAUGAAGAAAAGUCUCGGUAAUAACAUGGUUCAGGUUGUUACGUGUUUAACAUCCUAGUUUCUACACCUUUUUUUUGUGCAAUGCUUACACUUCCAGUGGGCCCAUGUAACAUCAAAAUUUACUGUUAAUAUUGCCUUUUGUUUGUGCUAGCUACUAUGUCUCUAUUCUCUUCAUUAUAAAACUGGUUUUGUCCAGCUCCAGCCUUGCAUUUCUUUAAAUGAACACUGGUGGGUUUUUUAUAACCAUGGGAUCACCAAUGCCAGCCUGUGCUGCUUCUGUUACCAUCCUAGGUCUGUGCUGCUCCUCACCAUGUCCUGUGGCUCUGCCUCACAAGGUUCUCUAUAAUGUAUCAUUAUGUUAGAUUAAUAAAUAUCCCAUUCUUUAUAUAAUCACUGCUUGUUACUGCGGUCUAUAUAAAGUCAUGGUUGCAGCCUGUAAAGAUAAACAAAAGUAUAGUAAGCUAUCUAUAGCCUCCUUGUAAUCUGAAAAAAAAACUGCUAUUACAGAUGAACCAAGUAAAAUAAGCUGCAGGUGGGUCAUGAGAAGACCAGGCAUAGCCAGCCUGGAGAGCCUCUGUUGAGGCCUUGCAAGCUUGGUACAGAGUUUGUGGCUUGUUCCUAGCACUGGCAAUACUGAUUUCUUGUGCUCUCAUGAGCUUCCUUAUUUGUUUUGAUGAUGCUUCUGAGUUGCUCUGAUCUAAUGGCACUUGCCCUUUCCUGGUUCAGUAUUUCUUUCACAUUUUUUUUCUGUUACGUGGGGUCUGCAGGAUAAAUACCACUGGGUGGGAGAUGGGUAGGGAAAGGAGGAAGGUGAGCAAAGGAGAAUCAGUCCACCCCAGCAGUGGGAUGAGGAUCAUCAUCUCCACUUCUCAGCACAAACAGAUUUUACUAAACUUCCUGCAAAACUCUUAGCAACAACCUUUUUGUGUGUUAGAAGGCAAUAAUCAAAUCACUCUGGCCUUUUGCUGAAGCAGAACAAAUCCAUGGCUGUGUUCCCAGCUGUAAACAAAGGGAGCUCCUGGUGACUGUAGAUAGACCCCAGAAGAUCUCAGGCUCAUCUCCAUGAGGAACCUCUGCUGGAAGGGAGUUUAUAUCUCCAAACCUUUCACAGGAAGCCCACUGAAUAAAUUCAGUUAGUUAUUUGGACAGGAUCAGUGGUGAGAUGAGAGUCAUCUAGCUCUGACUUUAGAAGUGAAUUGGAAGUCAACACCUGCAUGAGAGCUGCAUUACAGCCAAAAAGAAAGAGGAUGAGAGAAAAGUGUUAAUGUAGGAGCAAAGAAGGUCACUGGGAAACCUGGCUGCACAUUCAGAGAGAGAUUUUCCUGUGUCCAGGGAGUCUAGAGCCAAUGGUGAGUAGAGCAAGUUGCCUGUAGCUGUUGCUUGUAUGUUUGGGAGAAGCAGAGCCUGAUUUCUGGGCCAUAUGGUGAGAGCUCCAGCUUGUUGAGCAUCUCUUUGGAGCAGGCUGUCUACCUGGGCACAUGCUACUUAGUGAAUUUUCCCCUUUAAGCUCAGUGAGCAUUAGCUCCCUGCCCUACAGAUACCCUUCCAUGUGCCUGGGAUGCUGACUGGGGUGGAGCCCCAGUGGGCACCAGAUGAUGACCUCUGAACUUGCACUGAUGGCUGUGUCCAUCACUGACGUUUUUCUUGGAACUCAUGGAAUCAUAGAAUGGCUUGGUUUGGAAGGGACAUCAAAGACCAUUCAGUUUCAACCCCCUGCCAUGGGCAGGGCGUCCACCCACCAGCUCAGGCUGCCCAGAGCCCCAUUCAACAUGGCCUUGAACAUCUCCACUGGUAGGGCAUCCACAGUUCUGGGUAGCCCAUUCCAGCACUUCACCUCCCUCUCAGUGAAAAACUUUCCCUUGACAUCUAAUCUAAAUCUCCCUGCCUUUAGUUUGAAAGCAUCCCCCCUCGUCCUAUCACUAUCUACCUGUGUAAAAAGUUGAUUUCACUCCUUUUGUAACCUCUGGAUGUGUGAGAGCAAAGAGAUUCUCUGAAACAACUCAAGAGGCUUCCUGUGGGCCUCGGUCUCUCUUGCACAACGCUCUUGUGGUAACAAGGGUACCAUUGCUAUGUGGUCAAAAAGUAUACUCGGGGAAGCAUUUAUCGCUCUUUGACUGUUCAGUAUUUGGUCCCUAGGAGAUACAAUUGAUAUACAGUGUGCUGUAUAUUUUAUUAGGUGAAAAAGUACCCACUGAGGCAUAGUAUCAUUUCCAAAGUUGACCUUGUGACAGCGGGCAAUGGCAGUGCACAUAAAAAUGAUAAAAGCCUUGCUAAAAUCUCUGGCUGCACAGGUUGAGGAGAGAGCUUGAAAACUGUUGAUAGAUGGGUUAGAUUCACAGAUAGACACAGGCUCAGAGGUAAAUUUUUUAAAAAGGGAAAUAUGGGUAAGAAAUGAAUCCGGACGAGCACAGAGAAAAUCAAGAGAAAGGCAAAUGCGGCAGAAGACUGGAGAAAGCUUUGUUUUCUUACUGAGAAAGCACACUUCAUGAGGAAUUAUGGCCAGACUGAGGUGUUGGCAUGCUGGUUUGAGCUGCAGAGGAGAAUGGGGAUGUAAACUACUAAAUAAAUGACAACAUGGAUCUCUCUGUUGCUGCAAAGUUCUCUCUGUGUCUUCACUUUACUUGGUUAUUUGUGGUGUGUGUUUGUAGUGAGUUUUCUAGCAACACAGUUAAAUUGUCACAUUGAUUUUUCUUUCUCACAUUUUUUUAGGCAAGAGUAUAGGUUUUUUUUGUUUUUGUUUCGUUGGUUUUUUGUUGUUGUUGUUUUUGUUUGUUUGUUUGUUUUUUAUUACUUAGAAAACUGUGAUCUUUAACAACCCAUUGGGUUUAGUAUUCCAUGGUACACAAGAGAUGCCCAAGCCAGAACUUGGAAACAAAACCUCUUCAAGUGCAGAGAUGUUGGGAGUCUGCACCUGAAUUUGCCAUUCAGGAUCAUUUCUAGUACCCAACAUAGAAAUAAAAUGUUGAAUAUUGGCUACUAGGGAGUAUAUAUAUAUCCCAGCUCAAGACAAGGAAUACCAUAAAUUGAUGAAAUCAGUGAUUGAUGUGAACAUCACUGAUGUAACAGAACUGUUUGUUUUUUGAGCUGUCAUUGCUGUGGGAGUACAAAAAUAAUACUUUCUGUGCAGCACUGUUUGUUUUUUCCUGCCCUACUCUGUCAAGACAGAGAUAUUAAAGGUGAUCAACUGAGAAAGGAGCUUGAAGCAGUCAAAAGAAGAGAACACAGAUUAAUGUUUCUGCUCAGAAGCUGGGGCUGAAGGGGGUGAGAUGUGUCUGUGACAAAACAUUGCCUUCAGUCACUCACCAUUAACAAAUGGGUUUGCUGACCAGAGUGUGUGAUUUCUCACCAGGGAAGUGUGGCUCAGGCAGGAAACUGAUGACUAAGAAUGUGAUAGCCUAAUUUCCAUGAGUUGUCUUUAGAGAUAUUGGGAUCUGCUAACUGCUUGGGAAACACAAGUUUAACCUUUACUUCCUCAGUCUGUAUAAUGUCCCUUAGAGAGUGCAGAGAGUAGCAGGAGAGAGGUGAUCCUCACUGAAUGUGGUUGUUUAUUAUCAGCUUUUGUUACCUUUCCACAUCUGGCUGUUCUCUACUAUGUCAUUGCUGGCAAUGAUAAGAUUCCUACACAGUCUUGGUUACCCUUCCAUACUCUAGUGGACUCUUGCUAAUCUAAAACGUAGUAUCUAUGCACUGUCAGUUAUGCUGUGCUGCUCAUCAUAUCUCCCCGUGGCUGUGCUAUGUGCUUGUUCAUCCCAGCUCUAGAAACUUCAUCUUGCAUUAUGUUCCUGCCUCAUUUUUUUACUUAUUUGCUCUGGGGAGUUGGAUAGCCAUACCCUCUUAUAAACAUGGGGAGUUUGCCAAUGUGUAGGACAUAUGCCAGUGUUUAGGGUCAACCUUGAUAUUGUCCUCUGCCACUAUGAAGCACAUGAUCUGAGGCCCCUCUGGGGAUCGCUAACUUUUGUGAGCAGUAAAAUGAUGAUGCAAAAGGGUGCAAGUGUGAAGGGUGGGAGGAUGGCAGAGGUGAGCAGAGAGAUUGCUGCUGCAGAAACUCAGGCCUUCCAGCCCUGCUGGCCAGGAGGCUGUUCCAGCUGCAGUGCAUGAAGUGGGAAUAAUGUUGGGUUUCUGCUGGCCAGGAAAAGGGAGGGGAAAAGUCUGGGAAUGGCAUAGCAGUCUGUCCCAGUUUGUCAGGAUAGCUAGAGUAAUGAUAUGAACCUAUGAAUAUUUACUUCCAACUAUUUAUAGAGCCAUACGUUAGAUGUUCUUUAUUGUUAUUUUAGUAGAAUUAAUGCUUAGAGGAUAUUCUCAAUGAAAAAUGUUCCCUAUGAGUGAGUCAAAUCAAAUAAAUACAUAUUCUCCUCACUAAAAAUAGCGAAAGCACAUUGCAUUUCCCUGCUAGGAUGACAUCAUUUCCAUGCAGGUACUGGCAAAAUAUCUCCAGUACAUACAGUGCUUUGAAAUGAAAAUUACUAUAAUAUGAGGUAUUUGAGUGCAACACAAAAAUGACUGUGAAGGCAGAAAAGAAACAUCUACGUUUGGACUUUUCUACUUCAACUUUGGAAUUACCUGGUUUAUACACAUCCAUACGAGUCAAAGCUGGUUCAAUGUAAUUAACAUUUCCACGCAUGUAUGCCAGAAAGAAAAUAAGAAAAUUAGAAAAUAAGAAUUUACAAUACUGAAAUGAAAGACAUCCCUUAAGAAAACAUAGGUUCAUUACUUGGUAUGGUUGGAAAUAAUUAACUGUUCAUUUAAUUAAAUGAAGUUAAAUGAAUACUCAUUAUGGAUAUGGAAAAGUGUUAGAUGAUCUAUUUGGAAGUCACAAUGAUACUGAUGAUUUUUUUCCCAUUUUGAAAACAAGGAAAAUGCUAGAAAGUGACAAAUAUCAUGGGAUAUCUUAACAUUUACAAGACCAAACAGCUCACGCUCAGUUUAGAGAAGUUAGGAAAGAUUAAACCAAGCAGAGCACAUCUUGAUUGUGAGCAAACUGUGAAGGACAUCUAAGAGGAGACUGUGUAUGUGUGUGCAUGUGAUGAUACCAUUUUUACUGUAGUAGCUUUGAAACCUCUAGCAAAGGAAGGCUGGUUUGCCUAGCAUCCUAUUUCAUCUUAAAGAAAAAAAAAAAAGAAAAAGAAAAAGAAAAGAGAAAUAGGAACAUAACUACUGCCUCUCAACAUUGUUCUGUGAAGAAGGUGUUUUGUGAAAUGUACUGGUUUUUGAAAGCAUUACAUUGCAUUUUGAUAGCAUUUGGUUUCUGAUUGUAACCAUUCACAUGACAUACUUCUCUAGAGUAUUGGACUUGAUGCCAUGAAAGAUUCUCAUUAAAGGUUAGCAGUGUAUAAACUGAAUGUAGAACAUAUUAAAUGGCUUAAAACUGGCUCACCAAUAAAUCUCAUGUAGUAAUUGCAAACAAGGAAUCAUCUUGCAAAAGAAGUGUAUUCAGCAGGGACCCUCCAGGGAUUUCCUGGCUCAAGUCCUUCCAUGAUUUUCAGUCUUUCAGAAGAACAUAUAAAAUCACUGCUAAUAAAGUUUGUGGAUGACAUAAAGGUGAGGAAAAAAAAAAAAAUAAGGACAGCUUAGUCCUGCAGGCUGAACAGAAUUGGCCUUUUCUGAUCAAAGCCUCUUUUGAUGCAGCCAGAUUCAUGGUCAUACACCCAGAAGAGGAGAAUUUAGGUCACACUUAGAUAAUUUAGGGGCUGCUUCCUGGUAGGCAGCAACCAUGAAGAAGGCACAUGGGUGGAUAACUCAUGGAUCACAGGGCCUUGGUGGGUUUUUCUCACUGAAAGGUUGACAGCUGUUUUUGUGAAUGUCUUCAGAAGUUUCUGGGAUCUGCUCCAUAUAUCUAGCACCAUGUGCCAGAGAUGUGAGACGGUCUGUGGAAGCCUGUGACCAAUAUCGCUGGGAAAACUCUGAGGAAACAGGUAUUGUUUGCAAAGACAAAAGUGGACAUCCCACUUAAAACUUGAAUUAGACCUGGUUAUUGUUUUUCCUUUUUUUUUAGUUCAUAUGUUUGUUCUGGAUAUGUAAUGUAACACUUGUGCAGAGGAGGGGGGAUGGAAACAAAUCCGUUCUUGACAUUGCGUGAUCUUAUAUUGUUCAGCAGUAGAUAAACACAAUCUCCAUCUCUAAUACUAACUAAGCCUGCAUGACUCUACGUACCAUUUUUUCCUUCUGUCUGUGAGCUCUGUUUGUAAUACCUGCUUUCCCCCUCUUUCCCGUGACUGUUCCCAACCCCAGUGUCUAGCUGCUGCACACAAAUCCAAAGCCUUGAGACAAACUGGCAGGAACUUCAAAGUCUGUCACAACCUGCUGUAGUCACAGGAUGGUGAGAGGAUGCUAAAACCAGCAGAGCAGUUGAGAUCUCCAUGGAUAUAGCUGUCUUCUGAGCACUGUGGCUGAGCAGUGGAAAUUGCACGGUGACCAUCCCUACUUCACUUUUAUUAGAUAUAAUCUGAGCACAGUCUAGAAAUUGUUCAGCUAGAGUUGAGUGUCCUUACAACUUACAGGUGUGUGGUGCUGCCUGGACAAGGAGAGGUCUGGUAUAGCAGCAGUGUAUCUGGUGAUAUUAAAUAAGAUUGUUUAAUAAAAGUAUAAUAAAAAAUGGUCCAGGUAUAAGAUAGGGUAGCGGUUCUGUUUUUACUGUCUCAUGAGGUAAGAAUGAUGAGAAUAAGAGAGGGGAAUUCAGCACUGAAAAAAAACAACUUUUUUUUUUCUCUGCCUCCCUAUAAUUAAACUGUGGAACAGAUUGCUACAGGUUGAUACUGCUGUAAUUUCUUGAGAAUGCAUGUUUGAAUUAUAUUGUGUUAGCUUCUGUAGUUAAUGCUCUGUUCUCCUGGUGUCCUUAUGUCUACGUAAUUGGGGAUAUUCAGAGUGCUUGCACUGACUGUUGUUGAAAAUGUUAUGAAAGGACAGAUUUCUUACGCUUCCUGCUUCAUAGCUUGGCCUAAUCUCCAGCCACUGGAGGGGCAGGAGGUGGCUGAGAAGAAAGCUUCUGUGAGGUAAGGUGCAGGCCAUGGCCAGGGCAUGGCAUUGGGCCACUGGACUUUGGUUCUAGAGCAGCAUCCUCAUUUCUAAGUUCUGGAUGUCCAAUCAGGCUCCCCUGGCCAUUUUCUGUGUCUUUGUGUGGCGGAAAGUAGCACAGUGUUUUUGAUUUCAACACUGUGCCACUGAUUUAUACCAUAUUUUGCCUAGUCAUAAGUGUAUUGACAUGGUGACUAUCCCUGUUUAUUCCUGUUCCAUCAGUCAAAUGUAUUAGUUCAUUUUCCUGAGAUCCUGGGGCAGUUUGCACUGAGCAUAUCUUUAAUCUUUGCUGUCUUAAAAAUAAAAUAUUCUUCACCCGAUAUUCAGGAAAAUGUAUUUUUUGUUGUUGUUGUUGUUUCUUCUUUUUUUCUUUUCCUUCCACUGGAGAUCGAAUAGGCGUCCUGUGAGCAGCAAGGCAGUGAAUUUUGCUCUUGCUGAGUGAGUUUUAUUCUUCAGGUGCUCACUUGCAAUUUGCAAGCACUUCUGAAAUAUCUUCUGGGAUGUGAGCUCUCCCUCCUCUGGAAGGCAUUCCUUUGAUUCCUUGUAUUGUGCAAAUGUUCUUGCAGGUGGCAAGCAUGCUGAAGAUAACUCUUUUGAUCCUUCAGAAUCAGCAUCCUCUUGUAAUCUUGUUUUCCAGCUUUGUAAAUAUUACCCACACACCUACAACUUAUUGUUGCUUUCACAUCUUCACUUUUACUACUUCAUUUCAAAUAGCGCCUUCUCCC